RNAcentral lists this ribosomal RNA (253 nucleotides) under uncultured prokaryote. RNAcentral's name for it is "partial 16S ribosomal RNA". It matches the Rfam family "Bacterial small subunit ribosomal RNA", at positions 525 to 777 of the family's 1533-position model. The record is from RNAcentral.
ACGUAGGGUGCAAGCGUUGUCCGGAAUUAUUGGGCGUAAAGCGCACGUAGGCGGUCGCGUAAGUCGGGUGUGGAAGCCCAGGGCUUAACCCUGGAAGUGCAUUCGAAACUGCGCGGCUUGAGUACGGAAGAGGGUCUCGGAAUUCCCGGUGUAGAGGUGAAAUUCGUAGAUAUCGGGAGGAACACCAGUGGCGAAGGCGGAGACCUGGGCCGAUACUGACGCUGAGGUGCGAAAGCGUGGGGAGCAAACAGGA